GAUGAACGCUGGCGGCGUGCCUAAUACAUGCAAGUCGAGCGAACAGACGAGGAGCUUGCUCCUCUGACGUUAGCGGCGGACGGGUGAGUAACACGUGGAUAACCUACCUAUAAGACUGGGAUAACUUCGGGAAACCGGAGCUAAUACCGGAUAACAUGUUGAACCGCAUGGUUCAACAGUGAAAGACGGUCUUGCUGUCACUUAUAGAUGGAUCCGCGCCGCAUUAGCUAGUUGGUAAGGUAACGGCUUACCAAGGCAACGAUGCGUAGCCGACCUGAGAGGGUGAUCGGCCACACUGGAACUGAGACACGGUCCAGACGCCUACGGGAGGCAGCAGUAGGGAAUCUUCCGCAAAGGGCGAAAGCCUGACGGAGCAACGCCGCGUGAGUGAAGAAGGUCUUCGGAUCGUAAAACUCUGUUAUUAGGGAAGAACAAAUGUGUAAGUAACUAUGCACGUCUUGACGGUACCUAAUCAGAAAGCCACGGCUAACUACGUG
This 497-nucleotide ribosomal RNA is filed under the name uncultured bacterium. Its description in RNAcentral is "partial 16S ribosomal RNA". It matches the Rfam family "Bacterial small subunit ribosomal RNA", at positions 28 to 507 of the family's 1533-position model. The record is from RNAcentral.